This 202-nucleotide long non-coding RNA is filed under the name Lathyrus oleraceus (garden pea). Its description in RNAcentral is "Pisum sativum (pea) long non-coding RNA (PSAT_LNC038196)". The record is from RNAcentral. Lineage: Eukaryota; Viridiplantae; Streptophyta; Magnoliopsida; Fabales; Fabaceae.
GGUUUCACCCUUGAGCCAUUUCAGUUGAAGAUUGGGGCUCAGAUUGAUCUAUGCAUUGCCUGAUUCAUCUGUCAGUUGAAAAGUCAACUGUGGUCAACUGUACAUGAUCUGAUGAAUUUGGAGGUGGAAAUGAGUUGGAUACACUUCAUUCAUGUUGGAACAAGUGUUAUUUGACAUCUCAAAGCUUAAGAAUGAAGAAAAU